This is a non-coding RNA of Podarcis lilfordi (Lilford's wall lizard), 72 nucleotides long. The record is from the annotation of a GenBank genome assembly. NCBI's taxonomy places the organism in Eukaryota, Metazoa, Chordata, Lepidosauria, Squamata, Lacertidae.
AGGGCUGUAGCUCAGCAGAAGAGCAUUUGCUUUGCACACAGAAGUCCCUGGGUUUGAUCCCUGGCAGCUCCA